RNAcentral lists this ribosomal RNA (164 nucleotides) under uncultured bacterium. RNAcentral's name for it is "partial 16S rRNA". It matches the Rfam family "Bacterial small subunit ribosomal RNA", at positions 355 to 511 of the family's 1533-position model. The record is from RNAcentral.
UAGGGAAUCUUCCACAAUGGGCGCAAGCCUGAUGGAGCAACACCGCGUGAGUGAAGAAGGGUUUCGGCUCGUAAAGCUCUGUUGUUAGAGAAGAACGUGCGUGAGAGCAACUGUUCACGCAGUGACGGUAUCUAACCAGAAAGUCACGGCUAACUACGUUCCAG